AGUGGCUGGUAGGAAGAAGCAACAAUGAACUGAAAAAAAGCAGUGCCUAGCUACUGUUUACAGGGUCCAUGGUUUGGAAGCCAGAGUUAUGGGCUGGCCCAGUUCCCCUACCAUCUACAGUGGCAUAAGCCCCAUGAAGGGGAAAAUGCUUAUGGAGAGCUUGAACAAAGGGCAGAAUUUCAAGGACCCAGAGUUGGGGCUGGAGACCUUAGUGAGGGCAACGGGACUGUUCUUGACUAUCCCAGAGGGGUUCAUUUGGACUUUGGGACUUAGCCAGAGGCCUGAGCCACAGAAGACUCACUGAGGUCGGCUGGCAGGGUUCCCCAGGGGUGAGAAAAGGACUGUGGUACCAGACCCAGCCACUAAGAGGCUCUCAAAAGGUCCUAGCACAAUGGGAAUCUGGUCUGUGACUGGGACUAUGAGGCAGUACGGCAAUACAAAUAAUCACAUGCUGAUCUACAGAAAUACUUUUGUACCCUGGCCAUCCCCACUGGCUUAAGAGAUUAGUCACUGAAAAAUGGAAGUAUGUGAACUUGACAUCUGCAGUUUAACUCAGUCCCUUUGUCUCCUGCACUGAGUGUUCUUUCUGCUCAGUACACGCUGUCUGAAUGCACAGGAGAACCGUGAUGGAUGGUGACAAAGCACCGCCCGGCCCCGUGGAAACACUGCCCCCACCAGCGCCGCUCGCCUCGCAGAAACAAACCCUCCUUCCUCAGCGCCACCCCAUCAAAACAGCUGUGGGCCAAAGAGGAAGGUUUGAGGGGGAGUGAGGAGAAAU
Molecule: long non-coding RNA, 778 nt
Organism: Mauremys mutica (yellowpond turtle)
Lineage: Eukaryota; Metazoa; Chordata; Testudines; Geoemydidae
Exons: 3
Source: RefSeq, a predicted model, not a curated record